GCAGGUAGCCUAGUGGUUAGAGUGUAGAGGAGGCAGGUAGCCUAGUGGUUAGAGUGUACAGGUGGCAGGUAGCCUAGUGGUUAGAGUGUAGAGGUGGCAGGUAGCCUAGUGGUUAGAGUGUAGAGGUGGCAGGUAGCCUAGUGGUUAGAGUGUACAGGUGGCAGGUAGCCUAGUGGUUAGAGUGUACAGGUGGCAGGUAGCCUAGUGGUUAGAGUGUACAGGUGGCAGGUAGCCUAGUGGUUAGAGUGUAGAGGUGGCAGGUAGCCUAGUGGUUAGAGUGUAGAGGUGGCAGGUAGCCUAGUGGUUAGAGUGUAGAGGAGGCAGGUUAGCCUAGUGGUUAGAGUGUACAGGUGGCAGGUAGUCUAGUGGUUAGAGUGUAGAGGUGGCAGGUAGUCUAGUGGUUAGAGUGUAGAGGUGGCAGGUAGUCUAGUGGUUAGAGUGUAGAGGUGGC
Oncorhynchus tshawytscha (Chinook salmon) is the source of this 451-nucleotide long non-coding RNA. Lineage: Eukaryota; Metazoa; Chordata; Actinopteri; Salmoniformes; Salmonidae. The record is from Ensembl.